CACGGACUUCGGUCUGGUGGCGAGUGGCGAACGGGUGAGUAAUGUAUCGGAACGUGCCCAGUAGCGGGGGAUAACUACGCGAAAGCGUAGCUAAUACCGCAUACGCCCUACGGGGGAAAGCAGGGGAUCGCAAGACCUUGCACUAUUGGAGCGGCCGAUAUCGGAUUAGCUAGUUGGUGGGGUAACGGCUCACCAAGGCGACGAUCCGUAGCUGGUUUGAGAGGACGACCAGCCACACUGGGACUGAGACACGGCCCAGACUCCUACGGGAGGCAGCAGUGGGGAAUUUUGGACAAUGGGGGAAACCCUGAUCCAGCCAUCCCGCGUGUGCGAUGAAGGCCUUCGGGUUGUAAAGCACUUUUGGCAGGAAAGAAACGUCGCGGGUUAAUACCCCGCGAAACUGACGGUACCUGCAGAAUAAGCACCGGCUAACUACGUGCCAGCAGCCGCGGUAAUACGUAGGGUGCAAGCGUUAAUCGGAAUUACUGGGCGUAAAGCGUGCGCAGGCGGUUCGGAAAGAAAGAUGUGAAAUCCCAGAGCUUAACUUUGGAACUGCAUUUUUAACUACCGAGCUAGAGUGUGUCAGAGGGAGGUGGAAUUCCGCGUGUAGCAGUGAAAUGCGUAGAUAUGCGGAGGAACACCGAUGGCGAAGGCAGCCUCCUGGGAUAACACUGACGCUCAUGCACGAAAGCGUGGGGAGCAAACAGGAUUAGAUACCCU
RNAcentral lists this ribosomal RNA (720 nucleotides) under bacterium GSG07B-4. RNAcentral's name for it is "bacterial SSU rRNA". It matches the Rfam family "Bacterial small subunit ribosomal RNA", at positions 72 to 788 of the family's 1533-position model. The record is from RNAcentral.